This 1024-nucleotide long non-coding RNA is filed under the name Papio anubis (olive baboon). RNAcentral's name for it is "lncRNA (ENSPANG00000042567.1)". The record is from RNAcentral. Lineage: Eukaryota; Metazoa; Chordata; Mammalia; Primates; Cercopithecidae.
CUGGUAUGUUAAACCGAGUGCAGCCCUCAUGUUUGUUGUCAUGCGUUUGCACAUGCCUGGUGCCUCUCCCAUUUCGGAAGUGGGGCAGAGAACCCAGGGGAACAGUCUGAGGUAGGCUCUGGAUUUGGGGCAAAGGCUGCCAUUGUCAUCUAAUGACAGUGUUCCACAGUUAGAGCUGCAGUUGCUGGAAAGCAGCUUCUCCCUUGUAAUUAAUCGUUUGGCUGCUGAGCCUAGGGUAGCUUUGAAAGACACCCAGGUGACAGUGGGGUGCCUGUGGUCCCAGACUGUGGAAUUACACGGAGUCAAGAGCUAAAUAGCCUCUCCCAUCUACUCAUUUUCUCUUAAAUUACAUGUGAUUAGGAAUAUAAUUACCACUCCUUACUCUUCCCCCUUAAAACACUAUUUUCCUUUCUUCGCACAGCGCUUUGAUAGGGGAAAAACAAACUAAGGUUGUGCUCAGCGGUGGGAAAGGCUGAGGAUGGGAGCGGGAAGCCAGGCGGUGACAGAGGGGAUGGAGCCCACCCUCUGAGGCACUGGCGAGCGUGGAAGUUCAAAAACAAAAAAAUCCAAGGGCAAGAGUGGUAAUUAGAAAAUGUAUGCAAAACGCUUUGAUUAUUGAAAUCGUACCUGCCUAGGGGUCCUGGGAGAGCCUGAAAUGAUAUGUGUGCUCACGUUAGAAUUAUAAAGCUCAGCUGUUGAUCUUCUUAUUUUGGGAAUGUCUAUCCCUCUAAUUAUUUACAGUCCAAAUGAUUAAAAAAAAAAAAAAAAAAAAAAAGAGCAGGGAGCAACAGACGAGCCCAAAUUGCUGUGUUUAAAGGAGCAGGGCUGUCUGUUUGCGUGGGGCUGUCUCCCUGUAAUGAGAACCACCGCUGGGAGCUGUUUAGACAAAACCGACUCAGCGCUCCGGAGCCGCGCGGGCCUCCAAAUGCAAAGGGGGACCCCAUGAAUGUGAAGAUAUUUGGAAAGUCUUCACUACAGAACGUGAUUUCAGGAAUGAUGGAACAAUAAAUGAGAAUCUGGUAUU